RNAcentral lists this ribosomal RNA (607 nucleotides) under uncultured Bacteroidales bacterium. RNAcentral's name for it is "bacterial SSU rRNA". It matches the Rfam family "Bacterial small subunit ribosomal RNA", at positions 100 to 706 of the family's 1533-position model. The record is from RNAcentral. Lineage: Bacteria; Pseudomonadati; Bacteroidota; Bacteroidia; Bacteroidales.
GCACGGGUGAGUAACACGUAUCCAACCGCCGGAUAACUCGGGGAUAGCCUUUCGAAAGAAAGAUUAAUACCCGAUGGCAUAAUUAGACCGCAUGGUCUUAUUAUUAAAGAAUUUCGGUUAUCGAUGGGGAUGCGUUCCAUUAGGCAGUUGGUGAGGUAACGGCUCACCAAACCUUCGAUGGAUAGGGGUUCUGAGAGGAAGGUCCCCCACAUUGGAACUGAGACACGGUCCAAACUCCUACGGGAGGCAGCAGUGAGGAAUAUUGGUCAAUGGGCGCAGGCCUGAACCAGCCAAGUAGCGUGAAGGAUGACUGCCCUAUGGGUUGUAAACUUCUUUUAUAUGGGAAUAAAGUUUUCCACGUGUGGAAUUUUGUAUGUACCAUAUGAAUAAGGAUCGGCUAACUCCGUGCCAGCAGCCGCGGUAAUACGGAGGAUCCGAGCGUUAUCCGGAUUUAUUGGGUUUAAAGGGAGCGUAGGUGGACAGUUAAGUCAGUUGUGAAAGUUUGCGGCUCAACCGUAAAAUUGCAGUUGAUACUGGCUGUCUUGAGUACAGUAGAGGUGGGCGGAAUUCGUGGUGUAGCGGUGAAAUGCUUAGAUAUCACGAAGAA